Molecule: ribosomal RNA, 492 nt
Filed under: uncultured bacterium
Lineage: Bacteria
Description: partial 16S ribosomal RNA
Rfam family: Bacterial small subunit ribosomal RNA
Source: RNAcentral
AGUGAACGCUGGCGGUAGGCCUAACACAUGCAAGUCGAACGGCAGCACAGUAAGAGCUUGCUCUUACGGGUGGCGAGUGGCGGACGGGUGAGGAAUACAUCGGAAUCUACUUUUUCGUGGGGGAUAACGUAGGGAAACUUACGCUAAUACCGCAUACGACCUACGGGUGAAAGCAGGGGAUCUUCGGACCUUGCGCGAUUGCUUGAGCCGAUGUCGGAUUAGCUAGUUGGUGGGGUAAAGGCCCACCAAGGCGACGAUCCGUAGCUGGUCUGAGAGGAUGAUCAGCCACACUGGAACUGAGACACGGUCCAGACUCCUACGGGAGGCAGCAGUGGGGAAUAUUGGACAAUGGGCGCAAGCCUGAUCCAGCCAUACCGCGUGGGUGAAGAAGGCCUUCGGGUUGUAAAGCCCUUUUGUUGGGAAAGAAAAGCAGCAGGUUAAUACCCCGCUGUUCUGACGGUACCCAAAGAAUAAGCACCGGCUAACUUCGUG